RNAcentral lists this ribosomal RNA (279 nucleotides) under uncultured bacterium. RNAcentral's name for it is "partial 16S ribosomal RNA". It matches the Rfam family "Bacterial small subunit ribosomal RNA", at positions 28 to 306 of the family's 1533-position model. The record is from RNAcentral.
GAUGAACGCUAGCGGCAGGCUUAAUACAUGCAAGUCGAGGGGCAGCAGGGUAGCAAUACUCGCUGGCGACCGGCAAACGGGUGCGGAACACGUACGCAACCUUCCCAAAACUGGUGAAUAGCCCUCCGAAAGGAGGAUUAAUACACCGCAACAUAAUGAAGUGGCAUCACUUUAUUAUUAUAGCUCCGGCGGUUUUGGAUGGGCGUGCGCCUGAUUAGGUAGUUGGCGGGGAACGGCCCACCAAGCCUGCGAUCAGUAACUGGUGUGAGAGCACGACCA